UGCAAUUGGCAUACAAACAUCACAACUGUAAGCAGUUUUUUUUUUUUGGUUAAAAACUGUAAGCAGUUGCACUUACAUAGGUUUACUAAUCACAGCAACUGUUAUGUACGGCUUCAUAAAGCUUUAAAUCGAGUUCAUUCUUUCAAAAAUAUUGUAGGAAUUUUCUCAUCUUCUAUAACAUAUUUAUCCGUUUUCGGUCCAGGGAGUCCCAUAAUUCUGCUUCUGCCGAGGAAGUUUGCCGCACUAGAGACAACCAAGGAGAGAGAGGUCGACAUCAGGCCUCUUAUCGCAAAGAGGACAAGGGGUUCAGAUCUGCUCGAAACCCUGUUCACCGUGAGGAGAGAGCUCGCCACCAAGGAAGCUCCAACACUUCUCUCUCCCUAAAGACUUUUCCAACUCUGCUCCCUCCC
Molecule: long non-coding RNA, 410 nt
Filed under: Eutrema salsugineum
Lineage: Eukaryota; Viridiplantae; Streptophyta; Magnoliopsida; Brassicales; Brassicaceae
Description: long non-coding RNA (ESAL_LNC000509)
Source: RNAcentral